Molecule: ribosomal RNA, 460 nt
Filed under: uncultured bacterium
Lineage: Bacteria
Description: partial 16S ribosomal RNA
Rfam family: Bacterial small subunit ribosomal RNA
Source: RNAcentral
CCUACGGGAGGCAGCAGUGAGGAAUAUUGGUCAAUGGACGAGAGUCUGAACCAGCCAAGUAGCGUGAAGGAUGACUGCCCUAUGGGUUGUAAACUUCUUUUAUAAAGGAAUAAAACGAGGCACGUGUGCCUUUUUGCAUGUACUUUAUGAAUAAGGAUCGGCUAACUCCGUGCCAGCAGCCGCGGUAAUACGGAGGAUCCGAGCGUUAUCCGGAUUUAUUGGGGUUAAAGGGAGCGUAGAUGGGUUGUUAAGUCAGUUGUGAAAGUUUGCGGCUCAACCGUAAAAUUGCAAUUGAUACUGGCAGUCUUGAGUACAGUUGAGGUAGGCGGAAUUCGUGGUGUAGCGGUGAAAUGCUUAGAGAUCACGAAGAACCCCGAGUGCGAAGGCAGCUUGCUAAACUGUGACUGACAUUGAUGCUCGAAAGUGUGGGGAUCAAACAGGAUGAGAUACCCCUGUAGUC